Molecule: long non-coding RNA, 587 nt
Organism: Neoarius graeffei (lesser salmon catfish)
Lineage: Eukaryota; Metazoa; Chordata; Actinopteri; Siluriformes; Ariidae
Exons: 2
Source: RefSeq, a predicted model, not a curated record
CAUAAGUGUUGAUUAAGUCUUUCGGAUUUCGGUCUGUCUCAAGCCUCACUCACAACCUGCCGUAAGUGUUUUGGACACGCACGGGUCGCAGGGUUUGGUAGCUCACAGCCGUGCCGCAGGGCCGUGGUGAACCCGGGGGAAAGUUUGGAGGAGGAGUACGGGCAAAGUACUUGUCAAGUACAGGUUGCACACCUGACUUCCUUGAGGCGUGGGAAAAAUGAAUUUCUCUCUGCACGGACAUUGAGAAGUCUGCCUUCAAGCCGGCAGAAGGCACAGCAGCCCGCCAGAGGGAUUUCCACAGCUAAUGACGCCCAGAAGUGAGGACACUGCAAUCCCAUCAUCGCUGUCAGGCCAUUGUGCCAUGCUCAGUGAUGAGGACAAGGACUUCCCGACACCCCGUCCCACCAUUCAGCAGGAGCAGGACAGCAGCUCGGAGUCACAGUGUGUUUCAGUGCUCAAACUGUUGGGCUAUUUAGUUGGGAUUUUUUUUACAAUGUACUAAAAUGCGUUAUUCCCUUAUACUGACGUUUUAUUAUUUGACGUUUGCAUAGUAAAUUAACAUACACUCAAAUAAAAACAGCAAAUGA